GGCCCCGUAAUCGGAAUGAGAACAUCCUAAAUCCUUUAACGAGGAUCUAUUGGAGGGCAAGUCUGGUGCCAGCAGCCGCGGUAAUUCCAGCUCCAAUAGCGUAUAUUAAAGUUGUUGCGGUUAAAAAGCUCGUAGUUGGUUCUGCGUGCCACGCUGUCGGUUCACCGCCUGUCGGUGCAACUGGCAUGCCGUGGCAUGUCCUGUCGGUGGCGGAUAGGCUUCGUGGCGCUCCCUGCGCGAUACGUCUCGUAGGUCGUCGCGUCGUCCUUGUACGCCGGCUCAAUCCUACCGCGGUGCUCUUUACCGAGUGUCGAGGUAGGCCGACACAUUUUACUUUGAACAAAUUAGAGUGCUUAAAGCAGGCUCUUAAAUCAGCCUGAAUAGUGGUGCAUGGAAUAAUGGAACAGGACCUUGGUUCUAUUUUGUUGGUUUUAGGAAUCCAAGGUAAUGAUCAAUAAGGACAGGCGGGGGCAUUCGUAUUGCGACGUUAGAGGUGAAAUUCUUGGAUCGUCGCAAGACGCACUAGAGCGAAAGCAUUUGCCAAGUAUGUC
This 551-nucleotide ribosomal RNA is filed under the name Dindymus lanius. RNAcentral's name for it is "SSU rRNA". It matches the Rfam family "Eukaryotic small subunit ribosomal RNA", at positions 499 to 968 of the family's 1831-position model. Lineage: Eukaryota; Metazoa; Arthropoda; Insecta; Hemiptera; Pyrrhocoridae. The record is from RNAcentral.